RNAcentral lists this long non-coding RNA (924 nucleotides) under Homo sapiens (human). RNAcentral's name for it is "non-protein coding lnc-SYNDIG1-5:1". Lineage: Eukaryota; Metazoa; Chordata; Mammalia; Primates; Hominidae. The record is from RNAcentral.
AAGAUGGCUGUAGCAUGUGGGGCUCAGAUUGGGCACCUGCUCUUCAGGGCUGCCUCCAGCACUGACAAAGUGGACAGUAGAGCUAUCAAGGACCCCGGCAUAGACUUUAACUACAUGGUCUGCAUGCUCUAGUGCAGUCCUACCCAAGGCAAGUUCAAGAGCUCCUUCAAGCGGAGGGCAGGAAGCCUGUGAUUAAGGACCUGUCUCCAUCCUCUAUGAGCAGCCCCCCUCCCAACUCCCCAUCCCCCGCCUGCGGCAUGCAACGGUAAUGAGCAGCGGAGACUACUAGAGCUGUCAGUGCCUUAGAGAAGCUGGGCUCCCUUGAAUGGUGGAGCCGCAGGGUCAGCGUGUUUGCCACUUCUGUGAAGUCUGUGUUUGUCGUGGGAGUCAGGAAUGAGAGCAGAGCUGCCACCAGACUCAGCAACACCUCCUGCACCAUGAGCCACUUGUCCUCCCUGCCCUCGAGCAACUUUAGCAAUGUUGGCAUCAUGGAGAGGCUCGGGACGACAGUCUACACCAUCCUGCCCUCCAGAAGACUUUGUGGCUAACUGUGGCAAGGUGGACAUGGAGCUGCUCAAAUGCCAAGGCAGCAGGCAAGGCCCUCCCUGAACUGAGUGGGAUGCUCACUGGCACAGCUUUCUGUGCCCCCACUGAGCUGACCUGCCUGUCUGGAGAAAUAUACCAAACACAGUGACACCAAGAAGGUGGCCCAGUGGGUGUCAGAGACCCCUACUAAGACUCUUGCUUCCCUAAGAACAGGUUGUUUUCUGGGACUUGAAUGGUGGCACACACCCACUCCCCCAGCCUUGGUCUUGGGCUGGCACUGCUCUCAAUGAUCCCUUUAUCCAGCCCAUUCCCUCGCAUGAUAAUGCAUUUGGCCACAGCAGCCUCUUUGUGGACCUCACAGUUCUCAUGGCCUCCAGG